Molecule: ribosomal RNA, 468 nt
Filed under: uncultured bacterium
Lineage: Bacteria
Description: partial 16S ribosomal RNA
Rfam family: Bacterial small subunit ribosomal RNA
Source: RNAcentral
GACGAACGCUGGCGGCGUGCUUAACACAUGCAAGUCGAACGGAAAGGCCCUGCUUUUGUGGGGUGCUCGAGUGGCGAACGGGUGAGUAACACGUGAGUAACCUGCCCUUGACUGUGGGAUAACUUCAGGAAACUGGGGCUAAUACCGGAUAGGAGCUCCUGCUGCAUGGUGGGGGUUGGAAAGUUUCGGCGGUUGGGGAUGGACUCGCGGCUUAUCAGCUUGUUGGUUGGGUAGUGGCUGACCAAGGCUUUGACGGGUAGCCGGCCUGAGAGGGUGACCGGCCACAUUGGGCCUGGGAUACGGCACAGACUCCUACGGGAGGGAGCGGUGGGGAAUAUUGCACAAUGGGCGGAAGCCUGAUGCAGCAACGCCGCGUGCGGGAUGACGGCCUUCGGGUUGUAAACCGCUUUCGCCUGUGCCGAAGCGUGAGUGACGGUAAUGGGUAAAGAAGCACCGGCUAACUACGUG